Long non-coding RNA from Cryptomeria japonica (Japanese cedar), 671 nucleotides. RefSeq lists it as uncharacterized. NCBI's taxonomy places the organism in Eukaryota, Viridiplantae, Streptophyta, Pinopsida, Cupressales, Cupressaceae. The transcript is spliced from 3 exons. The record is from RefSeq and is a predicted model, not a curated record.
AUAGAUUUGUAACGGCUCCUUUGUUCCAACGUCUAUAUUCAAGUAUUUGAAUAUUUGAAUCAAUUUGUCCACUUCAUAUUCUGCAUUCUAUUUCCUACAGCUUCUGUUCUGAGCCUGUACAGGGGACAGGGUAGAUAGUGUUCUGAAGCGAUCAAGUCACUGAGGAAUUGUUGCUCUGUCUAAUAAGCCCAAGAGCCUCUGGACAAUAUACUUCUAGACUUGAAUACUUUUCAUCUCAAGUACUAUUUCACUGGAUGACCAGAUUGCACUAUUGAAGCACAGGAUCAACUUGUUUUAUUAGGAUUUGGCAUUCGAUGGAAAAUGGUUCGAUCUUGCCAGAUCUCAGGGGAAACAAAUUCAAUUUUCUAUAGAACAAAAGGCAGAAAGAUCACUUGGGAACUUGGCUUGGGCAUAUAUGCAGCAGAUAUGGAGGGGAUGGAUUCCAAUGUUUUAUGUAUGGUGGGAUUCGUUCUGUGUAUUGCAAUAUGCAGUUGGUGGACAAAAAGAGUGACAGAGCAAUUUGCACUUGGUGUUCUGUUUUUUGGCAGCAAUCAAUGCAGGAGACAGUGUUCUAUUUCUGAAAGACAAAGCAAUUGUCAUGAAAUGCUUUUCACCAUUCACGUUUCUACAUGACCAUAAAAUUCACCUUUUUACUGCUAUUUUAAUCUUCA